Molecule: unclassified non-coding RNA, 204 nt
Filed under: soil metagenome
Description: partial contains small subunit ribosomal RNA, internal transcribed spacer 1, and 5.8S ribosomal RNA
Source: RNAcentral
UUUCCGUAGGUGAACCUGCGGAAGGAUCAUUCAUAAUAAGUGUUUUAUGGCACUUUUUAAAUCCAUAUCCACCUUGUGUGCAAUGUAAGUCGUUUUCUUCAUGGAAACGACCAAACAUCAACUUAUUUUUUAACUGUUUGUCUGAAAAAUAUUAUGAAUAAAUAAUUCAAAAUACAACUUUCAACAACGGAUCUCUUGGCUCUC